Gallus gallus (chicken) is the source of this 2896-nucleotide long non-coding RNA. Lineage: Eukaryota; Metazoa; Chordata; Aves; Galliformes; Phasianidae. The record is from Ensembl.
CUCAGUGUGAUUCUCCACCGCCCACGAAUUGGGAAAUCUGAAACAUCAGACGGGCUCAAAUCAACAGCAUCAUCGAAAUGCCCAAACAUACAAACACACCUCCGUCUGAAAAGGAUUUUGAGCGUUUACUGAACCCAUUGACUCCAUUUGUGAGUGCUCAGCACUUCUGAAAAUCAGGCAAGAAGCUUUUAAAGAUUAAACAAUAGGCCGACUCCAGCAGGAAAUAAAAUCAUUUAAAUUUUGAAGAGAGACACAUAAAAAGGGGACGUGACAUUCGAGAGAUAUUUUAUUAUGUUAGACAGCAAAUUCAUAGGAAAUGCUUUUUCUGUGAAGUGAUUUAUGGUGCUGAGGGACUCAUGGCCACAGAGACAAGGCUUUAAAAGUUUCAGGCACAGACUGGAUGACAGAACUAUCUUUGUUUAACUGUAAUUGCUAAUAGCGUAUCUGCAAGGGUUGCUUAACCUCAGGCUUUGGGGUCUAAUCUAUACUCUGGUUUCCAGGUCAAGAUGAAGCCUAACGUGGUGGCUGGUUAUCUCACAUCAGCUUAAUGCAAGCUCCUUCUCACUGCCUGCCCUGAGCACACCAUCAAGCAUUGGUGCUCAGACACGUCAGGAGGAGGUACUGUGCAAACGCCCUGCAAAGGGAUUCUGCAGGUAGAAGACAAGAGACAAUGAGACGUACAAGGGCAGCAAUAAUGGGCUACUUAGGUCAAAGUUUUCUUCCUUGAUACUACGAUGCAGCCCCAAAGUCUCAUUCUACACAGACCCCAUCCCACACACCCAAAUCUCAGACUCAUCAGAAUGCAGAUGACCACAGCUUGCUGCAGUGCUGCACUCAGCCUUCUCCUGCAUUAUUUAUGGUUAUUCUCUUUGGGAAAGAAAAUAAACAACAACAACAAACAACAAAAAACAACAAAUAGUUUACACGCUUUUAAAACUCAUAAAUAUAACAAACCCAAGGCAAUUUGGCAAACCUGCCUUAUGGCUGGUGGCCCACCUUGGGCCUGCUCAUGUGGUCGUGCUGACAUGUCUUUCUACCUCCAAGGAAUCUGUCACUUGGAGCCAAUCUAUCACAGUGACACACCGCUCAGAACACUUCUUUCUCUUUAUUCAUCCAUUACUUCACUUCCUGCCAUCCAUCUCCCUUGAGAUUUCUUUUCCUUAUUUUUAAUACCUGUGCCAAGUUGUAUCGCUGCCAUCUAUUUACCCACUGUGAUCAUCAGACUAAAACCAGAAAGAGACUGAAGCCAUCGGGCCAAAAUCUGAUUACCUGCAUCUCUUUUUAUUCACGUAUCAUUGAUGGUAUCUGGAGAACUGAACGUGCACUGAGUUUGAAUGAAUACAUUUCACAUAUGAGUGAGUUAAACAGAGAAUUCUGCUUCACAGGUACUGGGGGGAGGGGAGGGGGAAUGACGGUAUUAGCUUAGAUUUCCCAAAAAGCUCUAGAAAAAAACCCUGAGAUUUUUUUAUCUAUCUAUCUAUCUAUCUAUCUAUCUAUCCAUCCGUCCAUCCAUCCGUCCAUCCAUCCAUAUAUAUUCUGGAAAUGUUCUGUUUAUUCUCUGGGGAUUGUGACCUUGGGGUGAACCCCACGGAGACCCCACAUUUUCAAGAUGUUCUUUGUUAUCACAUGUUUUAAGAUUACUUUACAGGUCCACGGAAGAAAAGCUUCUCAUACAACCAUUUGUUUCUCUAAGAACUUCAGUUCUAAAUGAAACAUCAAAUAUCGUGGGAGCUGGUAACCCGAAACCCAACAGUUUGUAUCAAGAAACUGCUUGAUACAACAGUGAGUGCUCUGAAAGCAGGCAUUCAUUUCCAGAAGUGCCAUCAGCUGGCCACGUAUUGAUACGUCCCCAGAACUCAUGAAGUUUGCAGACAUGCAUCCUUAGACAGGCACUACUGAAUUAGAGCAUUUUCCCUCUUUUCUCAGAAAUGCACGGAUGGAAUUUCCAUAAUGUAUUGCAGAUAACACACAAUUCCACGUAAAGCCUGAAUAAAUACAAUCAGUGUUCCUUGAAUGAAUGUUGAUAAGGAGCAGGGCAGGAGAGCGGCUGACAGGCUGCCAUGCUGGGCCAGAGCCCAUCUGCACCCACCCACGGGGUAGGACAGCGUAUGUGCGAGAUGUCCUCUGGCUGUGGAGGGACAUCCCAAAGGAAAAGCUGGAGAGCCCAUUCCUUAGGCUACACAGACGUGAAUUUACAGUGGUGGCAAAAAAGGAAUGAAGCAAACAAACAAAAAGCACAGUUUUCUUCAAACUUGAAAGUGCUGAGAGCUGAUGCUGUCGCGGUGAGCUGUGCUGGUGGGGGUUUGGCACAAGAAGGGCAACUUGGAGCAGGUAAUGGCUGGGUGCCCCCAGAGCCGCCUACGCCUGCUCCAGCCCCAUGCCCAUCCCCUGUGCCCACAAACGAUUUCUUUGUGUCUGUGGUCUGAGGAAAUGAGCCAGCUGAGUUAGCAACUUCUUUGCUGGCUGUUUCUCAGUGACUGCAGCAUAAAAAGCACAGGAGAAAGGAGGGAGCACCUAGCUGUGUUGCUGUUCAGUGCUGAUGCUAAAUGCCAUCAGGCUAAAGCUGGCUCCAUGAACAUGGAAACCCAUCCAAAGUCUCAUGCCACCCAAACUAAAGGCUUCUCCCAUCUUUAUGCAGUAACUUCACCCUGAGAGAAAACACCGCUUCUCCUGAUUGCAUCUUUGUCGUCUUCUGCGAAUAACUGAUUGCCCGAGAUAGAAGGGGAAAUGAGGGUGACAGCCUGCUUGCUGGUCAGACAGUCUCUAAUGGAGGCCACAAAGAUGGCGAUCUGGCGCACACACGGUGUGUGAUGAGCAGCUGAGCUCCCUUUGUUUGUUCAGCCUGGAGCAGAGACUGAGGGGAGGCCCAGCAAUGGCUGCAGCUCCUCAUGGGGCA